AGUGAACGCUGGCGGUAGGCCUAACACAUGCAAGUCGAACGGCAGCACAGUAAGCGCUUGCUCUUACGGGUGGCGAGUGGCGGACGGGUGAGGAAUACAUCGGAAUCUACUUUUUCGGGGGGGAUAUCGUAGGGAAACUUACGCUAAUAGCGCAUACGACCUACGGGUGAAAGCAGGAGAUCUUCGCACCUUGCGCGUCUGAAUGAGCCGAUGUCGGAUUAGCUAGUUGGCGGGGUAAAGGCCCACCAAGGCGACGAUCCGUAGCUGGUCUGAGAGGAUGAUCGGCCACACUGGAACUGAGACACGGUCCAGACUCCUACGGGAGGCAGCAGUGGGGAAUAUUGGACAAUGGGCGCAAGCCUGAUCCAGCCAUGCCGCGUGGGUGAAGAAGGCCUUCGGGUUGUAAAGCCCUUUUGUUAGGGAAGAAAAGCAGCAGGUUAAUACCCCGCUGUUCUGACGGUACCCAAAGAAUAAGCACCGGCCAACUUCGUG
RNAcentral lists this ribosomal RNA (492 nucleotides) under uncultured bacterium. RNAcentral's name for it is "partial 16S ribosomal RNA". It matches the Rfam family "Bacterial small subunit ribosomal RNA", at positions 29 to 507 of the family's 1533-position model. The record is from RNAcentral.